AAUGGAUUGGCAGAUUUAUGUAUUAAUUUUAGAAUUUAAUUAAGUGUUUUUAUUCACAUUCAUUA
RNAcentral lists this transfer RNA (65 nucleotides) under Warodia hoso. Its description in RNAcentral is "tRNA-Leu". RNAcentral also lists the same sequence under 2 other names. Lineage: Eukaryota; Metazoa; Arthropoda; Insecta; Hemiptera; Cicadellidae. The record is from RNAcentral.